Molecule: ribosomal RNA, 384 nt
Filed under: Triticum aestivum (bread wheat)
Lineage: Eukaryota; Viridiplantae; Streptophyta; Magnoliopsida; Poales; Poaceae
Description: partial small subunit ribosomal RNA
Source: RNAcentral
AUGGAGGUCGAUUGCACGGGGCUCAGAUAUCAUGCAGCCCGUCGUCUACUUCGUCACGCCGGAGGGAUACCGCUCAAGAUGGUGACCCAGAGCCCGUCGUCGCACACCGUUCAUCAACUUCAUCAAGCCAGCAUCAGGAACAACAACGACAUGGAGCCACGACGUGCUACACGAGAAGAACAACCAGGGAGAAGACCAAGAGAAGAUGCGCCCCUGGCGACAGCAUCGGCAAGAUUGGGACCAAGAUGGCAGCCAGCUGGGAGAGAUGUGCCGACGGGGGCGGCGCGUACGGCGGCUCACUGUCGACUGUCCAAGUUCACAUGUGAGAAGACCAAUUGCGAUGAGCGGGUCACGGUGAACAGGUUCAUCGGGAAGGAGACAUAG